This 497-nucleotide ribosomal RNA is filed under the name uncultured bacterium. RNAcentral's name for it is "partial 16S ribosomal RNA". It matches the Rfam family "Bacterial small subunit ribosomal RNA", at positions 28 to 507 of the family's 1533-position model. The record is from RNAcentral.
GAUGAACGCUGGCGGCGUGCCUAAUACAUGCAAGUCGAGCGAACAGACGAGGAGCUUGCUCCUUCGACGUUAGCGGCGGACGGGUGAGUAACACGUAGGUAACCUACCUAUAAGACUGGGAUAACUUCGGGAAACCGGAGCUAAUACCGGAUAAUAUUUCGAACCGCAUGGUUCGAUAGUGAAAGAUGGCUUUGCUAUCACUUAUAGAUGGACCUGCGCCGUAUUAGCUAGUUGGUAAGGUAACGGCUUACCAAGGCAACGAUACGUAGCCGACCUGAGAGGGUGAUCGGCCACACUGGAACUGAGACACGGUCCAGACUCCUACGGGAGGCAGCAGUAGGGAAUCUUCCGCAAUGGGCGAAAGCCUGACGGAGCAACGCCGCGUGAAUGAUGAAGGUCUUCGGAUCGUAAAACUCUGUUAUUAGGGAAGAACAAACGUGUAAGUAACUGUGCACGUCUUGACGGUACCUAAUCAGAAAGCCACGGCUAACUACGUG